GGGCAAAGUUGUUUUAGCGAUCUGGUUGCAACUAAGUAUUGGAGUUGUUGUGCCUUGAAGCUAGAAACUGCCUUGAAUUUCUACAUAGGGAAAUGUAAUCUAUUGCUUUCUUACAGGGGAGGCAGAUGAUGAAUAAAUGAACAAAAAAUAUAAUAAUGGAUAUGUAUUUAUAAGUGCUAUGAAGAGAAGAAAUCCAAGCAAGAAGAGAGUGAAAUGAGGUAUCCUGUAAGAACAAAUUGCUGCCUCCUCCAGGUGGAAAGGGAUCAAAUAUAAUUAAUCUGUGUGUGCCACACAGUAGCUUGAUAGUUUAAUUGAGGAAUGUUGACAUAUUGAGAGCUCAGCAUUACUUUCUGCUAUCAGCAGUGACGAAGCCAGUGCCUGGGAUUCUGAGAUGCAGCCACAUCAUAAAGUUUCAUUACUCAAUUGCAGUAGAGAAAACCUCAAAGGAACCACUUCUAAUGGAAACUGCCUCAAUUCCUGGUCAAGUCUCACAGUCUAACCUGGAGGUGCUCUGAGAUGUGACUAAGUUAAGGAUUUUGAGAUGAAGAGACCAUCCUGAAUUAUCUGAGUGGGUCCUGAAUGUCAUCACAAGAAGCCUUAGAAGAGAGAAGCAUGAAAACCAGAAGAGGAGGAAGAGGCAACCGGGCCAUGAAGACAAGAGAUUAGAGUGAUGUGGCCACAAGUCAAGAAGUGCCGGCCUCCAGCAAAAAACUGGAAGUCAGGAGCAGGAUCUCUCCUAGAGCCUGUGGAGGGAAUGUAACCCUGCCAAUAACUUGAUUUUGGCCCAGAGAAACUGACUUCAGACUUCUGGCCUUCAGGAUGGCGAGAGAAUUAAAUCGCUGUUGUUUUUAGCCCAGUAUGUGGUAAUUUUGUUACAACAGCCACAGAAAACUAGUACAGUGGAUUUUUAGCAGUAGAAUUAAAUUAGCAGUGGAUUAAAGAGCAGUAGAAUUGUGAUUUUAUCAACACUUACUGGAUGGCAGAUUUCCUCUGCAGCAGAAGAGAAUAAAAUGUUGCCUAGGUGAUGCUGACCACCAAAACUUCUGCCAUGGACUCAGCAGUGUGAACAGACCCUGGGAAUCUAUGUACACAUAAAACACCAUGAACAUUUUGCAUUUUCUGAUUUGAACUGAAUAGGCGUUCUACUCUGUAAAUAUUUACAAAAAAACUAAAUAUAUAUUUAUGUUAACCCUUUGCUAGAGAUUUUUAAACAAACAAAAAAAUACCAGAUCUUAUUCACCAUUUUUGAUGUCAGUAAAGUGUGUUACGCAAAUUGGCUUCAAAAAUUAAAACCUGUAACAAACUUUGAGUCUUGAAAUGCAUGCUAUGUAUGAUCUUAAAAACAUGUAGGUAGGCUUAUUAGUUCAUAGAGGUUCAUAGUAUUUCAUAUGUUUUUCAGACUAUAUGUAGGGAAUUGCUGACAAAUCUUGGUAUCACUAAAUCCAUUAUCAUGUUCUGAAAUGUCACCAAAUUGAGCCUACAUAUUGUGAAGAGUGAGUGUAUGGCCAUAUAGUGUAUGGCCUCAAGAUUUUGUCUUAUAAUUUAAGUUUCAAUGUCCACACCUCAUCUAAAUUAGGGUACCAUUUGGACUAUCAUGUUUAAUAAAUUUACCACUAAGUAAUUACAUUAAAAACAAAUUUAUCUUAAAGAUGUAUAAAUUGUUUUCAUUGAAGAAGGUAGUUACUUUGGUAGCCUGUUAACAAAGCCCUGGGAAUUAUAAGACUGUAUUUUCAUGGAGGCAUACAUGUGUAGUAAUUGUAAAAUGGUUCUGUUUUCAUAUCUGGAUCUUUUAUAUGUGUGUCUGAAUUAAGAAAUUCCCAUAAUAAAAUAAAAUCUUAAUUUAGCAAAAUUAAUAUAUAGAAAGAAAUUUUAUAAAUCAUAGACUUUUAAGAUGAUCAAAUAACCUUGCUGAUCAUCUAGUCUCACACCUUUUUUGUAGAAGGCUAGACUAAAAUUCAUAAAUGUAAAUGAUCUCUCUAAAGGCAUAUGGCAAGCUAUUGGACACACCAGGAAUAAAACCCAGGUCUUGGCCGGGCGAGGUGGCUCACGCCUGUAAUCCCAGCACUUUGGGAGGCCGAGGCGGGCGGAUCACGAGGUCAGGAGAUUGAGACCAUCCCGGCUAAAACGGUGAAACCCCGUCUCUACUAAAAAUACAAAAAUUUAGCCGGGCGUAGUGGCGGGCGCCUGUAGACCCAGCUACUUGGGAGGCUGAGGCAGGAGAAUGGCGUGAACCCGGGAGGCGGAGCUUGCAGUGAGCCGAGAUCCCGCCACUGCACUCCAGCCUGGGCGAUAGAGCGAGACUCCGUCUCAAAAAAAAAAAAAAAAAAACCCAGGUCUUCUGACUCCUAGUCCAGGACUCAUCACAA
RNAcentral lists this long non-coding RNA (2366 nucleotides) under Homo sapiens (human). RNAcentral describes it as "novel transcript". The record is from RNAcentral. Lineage: Eukaryota; Metazoa; Chordata; Mammalia; Primates; Hominidae.